This 444-nucleotide ribosomal RNA is filed under the name Limosilactobacillus fermentum. RNAcentral's name for it is "bacterial SSU rRNA". It matches the Rfam family "Bacterial small subunit ribosomal RNA", at positions 100 to 529 of the family's 1533-position model. Lineage: Bacteria; Bacillati; Bacillota; Bacilli; Lactobacillales; Lactobacillaceae. The record is from RNAcentral.
GGACGGGUGAGUAACNCGUAGGUNACCUGCCCAGAAGCGGGGGACAACAUUUGGAAACAGAUGCUAAUACCGCAUAACAACGUUGUUCGCAUGAACAACGCUUAAAAGAUGGCUUCUCGCUAUCACUUCUGGAUGGACCUGCGGUGCAUUAGCUGGUUGGUAGGGUAACGGCCUACCNAGGCGAUGAUGCNUAGCCGAGUUGAGAGACUNAUCGGCCACNAUGGGACUGAGACACGGCCUAUACUCCUACGGGAGGCAGCAGUAGGGAAUCUUCCACAAUGGGCGCAAGCCUGAUGGAGCAACACCGCGUGAGUGAAGAAGGGUUUCGGCUCGUAAAGCUCUGUUGUUAAAGAAGAACCCGUAUGAGAGUAACUGUUCAUACGUUGACGGUAUUUAACCAGAAAGUCACGGCUAACUACGUGCCAGCAGCCGGGGUAAUACGUA